Molecule: long non-coding RNA, 1001 nt
Filed under: Coturnix japonica (Japanese quail)
Lineage: Eukaryota; Metazoa; Chordata; Aves; Galliformes; Phasianidae
Description: lncRNA (ENSCJPG00005004430.1)
Source: RNAcentral
GUAUUAUUUCUGUAUAUGAAAAAAAAAAAAAAAAAAAAGUCUACUAAUUUUGUUUGGUGCUAAGAGUAAAACCAUUUUUUACAAAAACAUUUCUCCAAGGCCAGGUUUAUCAAAAUUGUUUAAAGGUGCCUCACUCUGCUGAUAGCAUCUAUGUGGAAGCCUCACUAGUAUUGCAAGUCAGUACGAGUAAGGCUUCUAGCAAUUAGACUCUUUUGAAGGUUCUUAACAGGUACCUAUCUAAAUAUUUUUAUCUUGGCAGAGUGUGAAAACUUCCAUCAUGCAGUCUUUGAUCUGGAGUUCUAGAAAUUAAAUUACAGGCUGCCUAGAGGGAUUUUGAAGUGCUAAGCACUCUUCUUUCAGACCAAAUAAAAAGCACAAUUACAGCUCUUACAGUAGUUGUAUAUCUGAUAUUAACAUGGAUUCAUGAAGUAGCUUGGCUAGGUUUGGUCAGAAGCUAUCUCAUAUGAACUGAACAGUUAAUGAAUGGAAAAUGCCAAGACAAAGGCCAGAAGACAGGGAAUAAAACUAAUGGACAAAAGCUGCCCUAAACGGGAGCAGAAAAACAUUUCCAGGUGAAGAGCAGGAAGAGUAAAAUAGGUUAGUAAAUGUGAGAAAAUAAACUGUACUUAACGCUACUAUAUUUUUAUUAUUUUCACAGAAAAAGAAACACAUAUAAUCUUAGAGGAAAACAGAGUUGUACCACAGGAUAUAUCAGUGUCAUAACCUAAAGAAAAUGGUCACAAAACUUCCCAGAAAGAAUGUAUCUUUUGAAAGAAUAAUCAAAGCAAAGCAAGAUUCUGGGGAACAUCUACUUACUAGAAGACUAAAUCAAAAAGUAGUAAAGCUGGAAUUAUCAGACCUAAGCAUCUCAGGUAUUGCCACAAAUACACACUUUUAGUUGUCUAUUGAAAAUAACUUGAUAGCAAAUGUUAUAAUCAUCUAGAGCACCCAUCUGCUUUCAGUUCUUCUUUUAAAGAAGCUGACUUCCUUAUUCAUAAUGA